UUCUUUCUACUGGACAGCAGGGCGGGAGAGGUAGAAGGAUGGAUCCCCAGCCCUCCCGCCCGGCCCCUCCUCGGCACCCCUUCAGCAGUGAUGGAGGCGAGGACGGGACUCUGAUAAGAUACUUGAACAUGCUAUAAAGCACAUACAACCAGCGCUCUUCAUUUCAGAAAGAAGGUCCCGGGCCCAUAACUUCAGGGACAUCAGACCCGGUUGCUGAACCACCCGAUGCCGACUUUGGCCGUGAAUUUGCCGAAGAAAAGAAACGCAAGACCUACACCCCGGACUUCGAGCCCCGCAUAUAAAAUCUUCUCCGAUUCCCCAAGGAGGGGGCACAGUUCUUGAGGCGUUAGCCUACUGUGUCUUCCCUUUGCCUGGCAAAGAAAAUAAAAAGCCUCUCUAUUUCUCAUCUUCCAAUUCUCUGUCUCCGUAUU
This is a long non-coding RNA of Physeter macrocephalus (sperm whale), 431 nucleotides long. RefSeq lists it as uncharacterized. The record is from RefSeq and is a predicted model, not a curated record. The transcript has 3 exons. NCBI's taxonomy places the organism in Eukaryota, Metazoa, Chordata, Mammalia, Artiodactyla, Physeteridae.